GUGGACGUAGUUCAGUUGGUAGAGCACCAGAUUGUGGCUCUGGUUGUCGCGAGUUCGAGUCUCGUCGUUCACCCCA
This 76-nucleotide transfer RNA is filed under the name Clostridium tarantellae. Its description in RNAcentral is "tRNA-His". It matches the Rfam family "tRNA". Rfam says of the family: Transfer RNA (tRNA) molecules are approximately 80 nucleotides in length. Lineage: Bacteria; Bacillati; Bacillota; Clostridia; Eubacteriales; Clostridiaceae. The record is from RNAcentral.